CGGCGGUUCGAUGUCGACUUGGAGGUUGUGCCCUUGAGGCGUGGCUUCCGGAGCUAACGCGUUAAGUCGACCGCCUGGGGAGUACGGCCGCAAGGUUAAAACUCAAAUGAAUUGACGGGGGCCCGCACAAGCGGUGGAGCAUGUGGUUUAAUUCGAUGCAACGCGAAGAACCUUACCUGGUCUUGACAUCCACGGAAGUUUUCAGAGAUGAGAAUGUGCCUUCGGGAACCGUGAGACAGGUGCUGCAUGGCUGUCGUCAGCUCGUGUUGUGAAAUGUUGGGUUAAGUCCCGCAACGAGCGCAACCCUUAUCCUUUGUUGCCAGCGGUCCGGCCGGGAACUCAAAGGAGACUGCCAGUGAUAAACUGGAGGAAGGUGGGGAUGACGUCAAGUCAUCAUGGCCCUUACGACCAGGGCUACACACGUGCUACAAUGGCGCAUACAAAGAGAAGCGACCUCGCGAGAGCAAGCGGACCUCAUAAAGUGCGUCGUAGUCCGGAUUGGAGUCUGCAACUCGACUCCAUGAAGUCGGAAUCGCUAGUAAUCGUGGAUCAGAAUGCCACGGUGAAUACGUUCCCGGGCCUUGUACACACCGCCCGUCACACCAUGGGAGUGGGUUGCAAAAGAAGUAGGUAGCUUAACCUUCGGGAGGGCGCUUACCACUUUGUGAUUCAUGACUGGGGUGAAGUCGUAAAUGGGGUAAACACAAAAA
Molecule: ribosomal RNA, 710 nt
Filed under: Shigella flexneri
Lineage: Bacteria; Pseudomonadati; Pseudomonadota; Gammaproteobacteria; Enterobacterales; Enterobacteriaceae
Description: bacterial SSU rRNA
Rfam family: Bacterial small subunit ribosomal RNA
Source: RNAcentral